UUCUUAAUAGGAUGUCCACUUAACUUGGAGUCCGAACUCUCACUUUCUAACCCUGUGCAUUUGUUUGGGAUAGUAGCCUCUCGGGGUGAACUCCUAUUCACUUAUAAACACAAAGUCUAUGAAUGUAUUUAAUUUAUAACAAAAUAAAACUUUCAACAACGGAUCUCUUGGCUCUCGCAUCGAUGAAGAACGCAGCGAAAUGCGAUAAGUAAUGUGAAUUGCAGAAUUCAGUGAAUCAUCGAAUCUUUGAACGCACCUUGCGCUCCAUGGUAUUCCGUGGAGCAUGCCUGUUUGAGUGUCAUGAAUACUUCAACCCUCCUCUUUUCUAGUGAAAGAGAAGGUGCUUGGUUUCUGAGCGUUUUGCUGGCCUCACGGUCGAGCUCGCUCGUAAUGCAUUAGCAUCCGCAAUCGAACUUCGGAUUGACUUGGCGUAAUAGACUAUUCGCUGAGGAAUUCUAAUCUUCGGAUUAGAGCCGGGUUAGGUUAAAGGAAGCUUCUAAUCCUAAUGUCUAUAUUUUAAGAUUAGAUCUCAAAUCAGGUAGGACUACCCGCUGAACUUAAGCAUAUCAAUAGCCCGGAAGGAA
RNAcentral lists this ribosomal RNA (584 nucleotides) under Rhodotorula glutinis. RNAcentral describes it as "eukaryotic LSU rRNA". The stretch from base 148 to 301 matches the Rfam family "5.8S ribosomal RNA". Lineage: Eukaryota; Fungi; Basidiomycota; Microbotryomycetes; Sporidiobolales; Sporidiobolaceae. The record is from RNAcentral.